UCAGCUCGUGUCGUGAGAUGUUGGGUUAAGUCCCGCAACGAGCGCAACCCCUGCCUCUAGUUGCCAUCAAGUUUAGGUUUUUACCUAGAUGUUGGGUACUUUAUAGGGACUGCCGGUGAUAAGCCGGAGGAAGGUGGGGAUGACGUCAAGUCCUCAUGGCCCUUAUGGGCUGGGCUACACACGUGCUACAAUGGUGGUUACAAUGGGUUGCGAAGUCGCGAGGCGGAGCUAAUCCCCAAAAGCCAUCUCAGUUCGGAUUGCACUCUGCAACUCGAGUGCAUGAAGUCGGAAUCGCUAGUAAUCGCGGAUCAGCAUGCCGCGGUGAAUACGUUCUCGGGCCUUGUACACACCGCCCGUCACACCAUGGGAGUUGGUUUUGCCUGAAGACGGUGUGCUAACCGCAAGGAGGCAGCCGGCCACGGUAGGGUCAGCGACUGGGGUGAAGUCGUAACAAGGUAACCA
RNAcentral lists this ribosomal RNA (462 nucleotides) under uncultured Candidatus Liberibacter sp. Its description in RNAcentral is "bacterial SSU rRNA". It matches the Rfam family "Bacterial small subunit ribosomal RNA", at positions 1055 to 1502 of the family's 1533-position model. The record is from RNAcentral. Lineage: Bacteria; Pseudomonadati; Pseudomonadota; Alphaproteobacteria; Hyphomicrobiales; Rhizobiaceae.